This 360-nucleotide ribosomal RNA is filed under the name Escherichia coli. RNAcentral describes it as "bacterial SSU rRNA". It matches the Rfam family "Bacterial small subunit ribosomal RNA", at positions 1167 to 1526 of the family's 1533-position model. The record is from RNAcentral. Lineage: Bacteria; Pseudomonadati; Pseudomonadota; Gammaproteobacteria; Enterobacterales; Enterobacteriaceae.
AGGAAGGUGGGGAUGACGUCAAGUCAUCAUGGCCCUUACGACCAGGGCUACACACGUGCUACAAUGGCGCAUACAAAGAGAAGCGACCUCGCGAGAGCAAGCGGACCUCAUAAAGUGCGUCGUAGUCCGGAUUGGAGUCUGCAACUCGACUCCAUGAAGUCGGAAUCGCUAGUAAUCGUGGAUCAGAAUGCCACGGUGAAUACGUUCCCGGGCCUUGUACACACCGCCCGUCACACCAUGGGAGUGGGUUGCAAAAGAAGUAGGUAGCUUAACCUUCGGGAGGGCGCUUACCACUUUGUGAUUCAUGACUGGGGUGAAGUCGUAACAAGGUAACCGUAGGGGAACCUGCGGUUGGAUCAC